RNAcentral lists this long non-coding RNA (1210 nucleotides) under Lepisosteus oculatus (spotted gar). RNAcentral's name for it is "lncRNA (ENSLOCG00000021730.1)". The record is from RNAcentral. Lineage: Eukaryota; Metazoa; Chordata; Actinopteri; Semionotiformes; Lepisosteidae.
CCUUUUUGCAGCUCUGUAUGUAAAGCAGUGUAAAGCCCAGUGGAUGCAAUAAUUUGGAUGUCCCAAGCGCAUGGUGGGCAAGGGAAGCAACUGAGGGACCCACAGCAGCAAAUGACCAGCACAGUCCUGGUGACAGGCAGGCAGGAGCCCACUGGCGUCCUUGUAGAGAGAGGAGUGUGCGAUUGUGAUGGCCCUGGCACUUGAUCGUGUUCAGUCUCUGGGAGUUUCGCGAUUGUGAGUGAGGAGCUGUGCACCUGCAUCGCCUCUGAUCUGGGAGCUGUCCCGGGAGGGGUGGGGCGUCCUCUUACUGUAAAGACUCUUCCAGAUGUUGGGUGGAAAAGGCAGCUUGAGGCACCUACAGGCACAUCCGCCGUCACUUGGAGAGUGGUUGGAUCUUCCAUUACAGCUCUUAACACACAGGCAUGUGCGUUUUAUCAUUUUACACGGGUAAUCUGCUGUCUAUUAACAUUGUACUGUUUUGAGUAGCUUUUGGAUACAUUGUGGAGUGUAACUCAAGUUUGUGAAAUGCAGCAUUUGUAUGUAUUACUCCUUGGGAAUGUGGAGGAUGUGUGACUGCCACUAGCGUUAGUGGCAUCAGUCUUGCAGCGUCUCACGAUCUGGGGGUGGGAUUGCAGUAAUAAACAGGAAGUGGGGGGGGUGUGUGUUCUUGUUCUGCCUUUUUUUCAUUCUGCAGUGCCCCAGAUCGCUUAAAUUCCUGAUGCAUCAGAAGCAGUCUCCACUAGCCCAUGUAAUGUCUCGCUUACACAAUCCACAUAGUAACGUCCACAUACCAAAAAUGUUCUCUGCAAAAGAAGUGUAUGGAAAAGCCCAGCUUCUUCAGUUACAAAGGAUUCCUGGAAAAGGCGAGGCCUUCACAGAUAAGUCCCUUUCAGGAGUUUCCUGCCCGUUGUGCUUGAAUCUAGAAAAGUCGUUUCAGCUUCACGAAGACCAGACAAUCCUCUCAAGUGUGGGGGAAUCUCGGCUCUUGACCCCAGGAAUCGGCCAUCUUGUCUCUCUCCUAACCAGGCAGGCAAAGGAUCUUGAGGUGGUAAAAUGGGUAGUCUUGGUUUGGGGGGGACUGAACUCGGUUACUGUGCAGCUGUGCAAAUGUGCAGCAGCGCCGUCGGUUGUGCAAAUGUGCAACUGGAAAUGCCCGGGUGAGGGUGGUUGCGCAACUGUGCAGCGCGCGCUGUGUGAUCUGGAAGGGUAA